This 557-nucleotide ribosomal RNA is filed under the name uncultured bacterium. RNAcentral describes it as "bacterial SSU rRNA". It matches the Rfam family "Bacterial small subunit ribosomal RNA", at positions 102 to 694 of the family's 1533-position model. The record is from RNAcentral.
ACGGGUGAGUAACGCGUGGGAAUCUACCGUGCCCUGCGGAAUAGCUCCGGGAAACUGGAAUUAAUACCGCAUACGCCCUACGGGGGAAAGAUUUAUCGGGGUAUGAUGAGCCCGCGUUGGAUUAGCUAGUUGGUGGGGUAAAGGCCUACCAAGGCGACGAUCCAUAGCUGGUCUGAGAGGAUGAUCAGCCACAUUGGGACUGAGACACGGCCCAAACUCCUACGGGAGGCAGCAGUGGGGAAUAUUGGACAAUGGGCGCAAGCCUGAUCCAGCCAUGCCGCGUGAGUGAUGAAGGCCUUAGGGUUGUAAAGCUCUCUCACCGGAGAAGAUAAUGACGGUAUCCGGAGAAGAAGCCCCGGCUAACUUCGUGCCAGCAGCCGCGGUAAUACGAAGGGGGCUAGCGUUGUUCGGAAUUACUGGGCGUAAAGCGCACGUAGGCGGAUAUUUAAGUCAGGGGUGAAAUCCCAGAGCUCAACUCUGGAACUGCCUUUGAUACUGGGUAUCUUGAGUAUGGAAGAGGUAAGUGGAAUUGCGAGUGUAGAGGUGAAAUUCGUAGA